RNAcentral lists this ribosomal RNA (497 nucleotides) under uncultured bacterium. Its description in RNAcentral is "partial 16S ribosomal RNA". It matches the Rfam family "Bacterial small subunit ribosomal RNA", at positions 28 to 507 of the family's 1533-position model. The record is from RNAcentral.
GAUGAACGCUGGCGGCGUGCCUAAUACAUGCAAGUCGAGCGAACGGACGCGAAGCUUGCUUCUCUGAUGUUAGCGGCGGACGGGUGAGUAACACGUGGAUCACCUACCUAUAAGACUGGGAUCACUUCGGGAAACCGGCGCUCACCCCGGAUAAUAUUUUGCACCGCAUGGUUCAAAAGUGAAAGACGGUCUUGCUGUCACUUAUAGAUGGAUCCGCGCUGCAUUAGCUAGUUGGUAAGGUAACGGCUUACCAAGGCAACGAUGCAUAGCCGACCUGAGAGGGUGAUAGGCCACACUGGAAGUGAGACACGGUCCAGACUCCUAAGGGAGGCAGCAGUAGGGAAUCGUCCGCAAUGGGCGAAAGCCUGACGGAGCAACGCCGCGUGAGUGAUGAAGGUCUUCGGAGCGUAAAACUCUGUUAUUAGGGAAGAACAGAUGUGGAAGUAACUGUGCACAUCUUGACGGUACCUAAUCAGAAAGCCACGGCUAACUACGUG